UGAGGAAUAUUGGGCAAUGCCCGCAAGGGUGACCCAGCAACGCCGCGUGGAGGAUGAAUGUCGUAAGAUUGUAAACUCCUGUUAGAGGGGAAGAAUAGUACCGGUUGGACCGGUAUAUGACUGUACCCUCAGAGAAAGCCCCGGCUAACUACGUGCCAGCAGCCGCGGUAAUACGUAGGGGGCAAGCGUUGUCCGGAUUUACUGGGUGUAAAGGGCGCGCAGGCGGGAUAAAAAGUCAGUGGUGAAGUCCUACAGCUUAACCGUAGACCUGCCUUUGAUACUUUUAUUCUUGAGUACGGGAGGGAGAGACGGAAUGCCAGGUGUAGUGGUGAAAUACGUAGAUAUCUGGAAGAACACCAGUUGCGAAGGCGGUCUCUUGGUCCGACACUGACGCUGAGGCGCGAAAGCGUGGGGAGCAAACA
RNAcentral lists this ribosomal RNA (422 nucleotides) under uncultured bacterium. RNAcentral describes it as "bacterial SSU rRNA". It matches the Rfam family "Bacterial small subunit ribosomal RNA", at positions 355 to 774 of the family's 1533-position model. The record is from RNAcentral.